CCUACGGGUGGCAUCAGUGGGGAAUAUUGGACAAUGGGGGCAACCCUGAUCCAGCCAUGCCGCGUGUGUGAAGAAGGCCCUCGGGUUGUAAAGCACUUUCAGUGAGGAAGAACGCCUGGUGGUUAAUACCCAUCAGGAAAGACAUCACUCACAGAAGAAGCACCGGCUAACUCCGUGCCAGCAGCCGCGGUAAUACGGAGGGUGCGAGCGUUAAUCGGAAUUACUGGGCGUAAAGCGCGCGUAGGUGGCUUGAUAAGCCGGUUGUGAAAGCCCCGGGCUCAACCUGGGAACGGCAUCCGGAACUGUCAAGCUAGAGUGCAGGAGAGGAAGGUAGAAUUCCCGGUGUAGCGGUGAAAUGCGUAGAGAUCGGGAGGAAUACCAGUGGCGAAGGCGGCCUUCUGGACUGACACUGACACUGAGGUGCGAAAGCGUGGGUAGCAAACAGGAUUAGAUACCCCGGUAGUC
Molecule: ribosomal RNA, 465 nt
Filed under: Vreelandella stevensii
Lineage: Bacteria; Pseudomonadati; Pseudomonadota; Gammaproteobacteria; Oceanospirillales; Halomonadaceae
Description: partial 16S ribosomal RNA
Rfam family: Bacterial small subunit ribosomal RNA
Source: RNAcentral